GAUGAACGCUAGCGGGAGGCCUAACACAUGCAAGCCGAGCGGUAGAGAUCUUUCGGGAUCUUGAGAGCGGCGUACGGGUGCGGAACACGUGUGCAACCUGCCUUUAUCAGGGGGAUAGCCUUUCGAAAGGAAGAUUAAUACCCCAUAAUAUAUUGAAUGGCAUCAUUUGAUAUUGAAAACUCCGGUGGAUAGAGAUGGGCACGCGCAAGAUUAGAUAGUUGGUAGGGUAACGGCCUACCAAGUCAGUGAUCUUUAGGGGGCCUGAGAGGGUGAUCCCCCACACUGGUACUGAGACACGGACCAGACUCCUACGGGAGGCAGCAGUGAGGAAUAUUGGACAAUGGGUGAGAGCCUGAUCCAGCCAGCCCGCGUGAAGGACGACGGCCCUAUGGGUUGUAAACUUCUUUUGUAUAGGGAUAAACCUUUCCACGUGUGGAAAGCUGAAGGUACUAUACGAAUAAGCACCGGCUAACUCCGUG
Molecule: ribosomal RNA, 479 nt
Filed under: uncultured bacterium
Lineage: Bacteria
Description: partial 16S ribosomal RNA
Rfam family: Bacterial small subunit ribosomal RNA
Source: RNAcentral